Molecule: ribosomal RNA, 500 nt
Filed under: uncultured bacterium
Lineage: Bacteria
Description: partial 16S ribosomal RNA
Rfam family: Bacterial small subunit ribosomal RNA
Source: RNAcentral
AUUGAACGCUGGCGGCAUGCUUUACACAUGCAAGUCGAACGGUAACAGGGUGCUUGCACCGCUGACGAGUGGCGAACGGGUGAGUAAUGCGUCGGAACGUGCCGAGUAGUGGGGGAUAACGCAGCGAAAGUUGUGCUAAUACCGCAUACGUACUGAGGUAGAAAGUGGGGGACCUUCGGGCCUCACGCUAUUCGAGCGGCCGACGUCUGAUUAGCUAGUAGGUGAGGUAAAGGCUCACCUAGGCGACGAUCAGUAGCGGGUCUGAGAGGAUGAUCCGACACACUGGGACUGAGACACGGCCCAGAAUCCUACGGGAGGCAGCAGUGGGGAAUUUUGGACAAUGGGCGAAAGCCUGAUCCAGCCAUGCCGCGUGUCUGAAGAAGGCCUUCGGGUUGUAAAGGACCUUUGUCAGGGAGGAAAUCCCUAGUGCUAAUAACACUGGGGGAUGACAGUACCUGAAGAAUAAGCACCGGCUAACUACGUGCCAGCAGCCGCCGUAA